UGGCCGCAAACUUCCACCAUGUACGUU
This 27-nucleotide non-coding RNA is filed under the name Rattus norvegicus (Norway rat). The record is from RNAcentral. Lineage: Eukaryota; Metazoa; Chordata; Mammalia; Rodentia; Muridae.